UCCUGAAGACAUCCGGGCCGUGCUUCUGGGGCCGCCCAGAGCCAGCAAGGGUAUCCAGGCACCCAAGUUGACUGAAAACUUCUGUGUCUGCCAUUUGGCUACUGGGGACAUGCUGAGGGCUAUGGUGGCUUCUGGCUCAGAGCUGGGAAAAAAGCUGAAGGCAACUAUGGAUGCUGGGAAACUGGUGAGCGAUGAAAUGGUCGUGGAGCUCAUUGAGAAGAAUUUGGAGACGCCUCCAUGCAAAAGUGGUUUUCUUCUAGAUGGCUUCCCUCGGACUGUGAGGCAGGCAGAAAUGCUUGAUGACCUCAUGGAGAAGAGGAAAGAACAGCUUGAUUCUGUGAUUGAAUUCAGCAUCCCAGACUCUCUGCUGACGCGGAGAAUCACAGGAAGACUGAUUCACCCCGAGAGUGGCCGUUCCUACCACGAGGAGCUCAACCCCCCAAAGGAGCCCAUGAAAGAUGAUAUCACCGGGGAACCCUUGGUCCGCCGAUCAGAUGAUAAUGAGAAGGCCUUGAAAAUCCGCCUGGAGACCUAUCACACUCAGAGUGCCCCGCUGGUGGAGUACUACAGUAAACGGGGGAUCCACUCUGCCAUCGACGCAUCCCAGACCCCUGACGCUGUGUUUGCAAGCAUCCUAGCAGCCUUCUCCAAAGCCACCUCCUAGUAACAGAAUGCCAGGCGAGACUGCACCACUGCUCAUCACCCUGCGGUGUGAUCCCUGCUCUUAGGUGCUGGGCAGAGGGGAGGGGUGGUCAGGGUAAGGAUGGAGAGG
Delphinapterus leucas (beluga whale) is the source of this 772-nucleotide non-coding RNA. The record is from RefSeq and is a predicted model, not a curated record. Lineage: Eukaryota; Metazoa; Chordata; Mammalia; Artiodactyla; Monodontidae.